RNAcentral lists this ribosomal RNA (330 nucleotides) under uncultured bacterium. RNAcentral's name for it is "bacterial SSU rRNA". It matches the Rfam family "Bacterial small subunit ribosomal RNA", at positions 30 to 363 of the family's 1533-position model. The record is from RNAcentral.
AUUGAACGCUGGCGGCAUGCCUAACACAUGCAAGUCGAACGGUAACAGGCCCUUCGGGUGCUGACGAGUGGCGGAUGGGUGAGUAAUACUUAGGAAUCUACCCUGUAGUGGGGGACAACCCGGGGAGACUCGGGCUAAUACCGCAUACGCUCUACGGAGGAAAGCGGGGGACCNCAAGGCCUCGCGCUAUUGGAUGAGCCUAAGCCCGAUUAGCUAGUUGGUGGGGUAAUAGCCACCAGGCAAUGAUCGGUAGCUGGUCUGAGAGGACGACCAGCCACACUGGGACUGAGACACGGCCCAGACUCCUACGGGAGGCAGCAGUGGGGAAUA